GGCGGCGUGCUUAACACAUGCAAGUCGAACGAUGAAGCCCUUCGGGGUGGAUUAGUGGCGAACGGGUGAGUAACACGUGGGCAAUCUGCCCUUCACUCUGGGACAAGCCCUGGAAACGGGGUCUAAUACCGGAUACGACUGCGGGAGGCAUCUCCUGUGGUGGAAAGCUCCGGCGGUGAAGGAUGAGCCCGCGGCCUAUCAGCUUGUUGGUGGGGUAAUGGCCUACCAAGGCGACGACGGGUAGCCGGCCUGAGAGGGCGACCGGCCACACUGGGACUGAGACACGGCCCAGACUCCUACGGGAGGCAGCAGUGGGGAAUAUUGCACAAUGGGCGAAAGCCUGAUGCAGCGACGCCGCGUGAGGGAUGACGGCCUUCGGGUUGUAAACCUCUUUCAGCAGGGAAGAAGCGAGAGUGACGGUACCUGCAGAAGAAGCGCCGGCUAACUACGUGCCAGCAGCCGCGGUAAUACGUAGGGCGCAAGCGUUGUCCGGAAUUAUUGGGCGUAAAGAGCUCGUAGGCGGCUUGUCACGUCGGAUGUGAAAGCCCGAGGCUUAACCUCGGGUCUGCAUUCGAUACGGGCUGGCUAGAGUGUGGUAGGGGAGAUCGGAAUUCCUGGUGUAGCGGUGAAAUGCGCAGAUAUCAGGAGGAACACCGGUGGCGAAGGCGGAUCUCUGGGCCAUUACUGACGCUGAGGAGCGAAAGCGUGGGGAGCGAACAGGAUUAGAUACCCUGGUAGUCCACGCCGUAAACGUUGGGAACUAGGUGUUGGCGACAUUCCACGUCGUCGGUGCCGCAGCUAACGCAUUAAGUUCCCCGCCUGGGGAGUACGGCCGC
RNAcentral lists this ribosomal RNA (836 nucleotides) under Streptomyces sp. IM-7356. RNAcentral describes it as "bacterial SSU rRNA". It matches the Rfam family "Bacterial small subunit ribosomal RNA", at positions 38 to 889 of the family's 1533-position model. The record is from RNAcentral. Lineage: Bacteria; Bacillati; Actinomycetota; Actinomycetes; Kitasatosporales; Streptomycetaceae.